UGUCCGAUGGUGUAACUGGCAACACGUCUGAUUUUGGUUCAGAAGAGUCCAGGUUCGAAACCUGGUCGGACAACAA
RNAcentral lists this transfer RNA (76 nucleotides) under Cytophaga hutchinsonii. RNAcentral's name for it is "tRNA-Gln". It matches the Rfam family "tRNA". From Rfam's summary of the family: Transfer RNA (tRNA) molecules are approximately 80 nucleotides in length. The record is from RNAcentral. Lineage: Bacteria; Pseudomonadati; Bacteroidota; Cytophagia; Cytophagales; Cytophagaceae. RNAcentral also lists the same sequence under 2 other names.